Sinocyclocheilus grahami is the source of this 656-nucleotide long non-coding RNA. RefSeq lists it as uncharacterized. NCBI's taxonomy places the organism in Eukaryota, Metazoa, Chordata, Actinopteri, Cypriniformes, Cyprinidae. The record is from RefSeq and is a predicted model, not a curated record. The transcript has 3 exons.
GAUGCUGAUGUGAUUGCGUUUUUCUCUGCAGUUACACACACUGGUGGACUGACGGAGUGCUGACGUUCCUGCCGUUACCGUAUGAUGAAGAUUUGCUCAUCUGGGUCAGAACCAGCACAAGGUGGAGAGAAACGACGAUACCAAGAAAUUAGAUGCCGACAUCAGCCUAUUGGAUGAGUGUGAAGGCUGGACCAGCGCUCCGGUGUCUCUGUUCCCGUCGGACAGCAUCUAUGAGGUUUUGGCUCCGGAGUUGGACAUUCAGAGCCAUGAGGUGUUCGAGUGUCACGUUCAGACGGGUCGUGGUUGGGUCAGGAGGACGUGCUCAUGUACCGCGAGUACAUCAAAAACAGAUACAUGUGAACAGAUUGACUGAUGGGAAAUGGUUGAAUUAUUAGAGCAGCAGUUCUCUGUACUGCUCAUUUAAAAUGAGUCGUUUGACCAUCAAAAAUAUACAGCAUUCCUUUUCCCUAUAAAAGCAAUGCAGGAGUGUUUGAUAUGAACCUGUAGGUCAUGAGGAAAAGGCUCCGCUGUGACUUUUAAUAGAUUUUGUGGCGUGAAAGUGAAACAAAUCGAUUCGCAGAUGAGCUUCUGAUUAAGUUGUGCCUAAUGUUAACGUGAUGUAUGAAGUUACAUAUGUACAGAAUAGAAUAAAAGAU